Molecule: ribosomal RNA, 492 nt
Filed under: uncultured bacterium
Lineage: Bacteria
Description: partial 16S ribosomal RNA
Rfam family: Bacterial small subunit ribosomal RNA
Source: RNAcentral
AGUGAACGCUGGCGGUAGGCCUAACACAUGCGAGUCGAACGGCAGCACAGUAAGAGCUUGCUCUUACGGGUGGCGAGUGGCGGACGGGUGAGGAAUACAUCGGAAUCUACUUUUUCGUGGGGGAUAACGUAGGGAAACUUACGCUAAUACCGCAUACGACCUACGGGUGAAAGCAGGGGAUCUUCGGACCUUGCGCGAUUGAAUGAGCCGAUGCCGGAUUAGCUAGUUGGCGGGGUAAAGGCCCACCAAGGCGACGAUCCGUAGCUGGUCUGAGAGGAUGAUCAGCCACACUGGAACUGAGACACGGUCCAGACUCCUACGGGAGGCAGCAGUGGGGAAUAUUGGACAAUGGGCGCAAGCCUGAUCCAGCCAUACCGCGUGGGUGAAGAAGGCCUUCGGGUUGUAAAGCCCUUUUGUUGGGAAAGAAAAGCAGCAGGUUAAUACCCCGCUGUUCUGACGGUACCCAAAGAAUAAGCACCGGCUAACUUCGUG